UGUUAAAUAGAGCUGUAAUAGCGUUUUCAUUGUUAAUGAAAUGAA
This 45-nucleotide transfer RNA is filed under the name Oxyopes sertatus. RNAcentral's name for it is "tRNA-Asn". Lineage: Eukaryota; Metazoa; Arthropoda; Arachnida; Araneae; Oxyopidae. The record is from RNAcentral.